AGUGAACGCUGGCGGUAGGCCUAACACAUGCAAGUCGAACGGCAGCACAGAGGAGCUUGCUACUUGGGUGGCGAGUGGCGGACGGGUGAGGAAUACAUCGGAAUCUACUCUGUCGUGGGGGAUAACGUAGGGAAACUUACGCUAAUACCGCAUACGACCUACGGGUGAAAGCAGGGGAUCUUCGGACCUUGCGCGAUUGAAUGAGCCGAUGUCGGAUUAGCUAGUUGGCGGGGUAAAGGCCCACCAAGGCGACGAUCUGUAGCUGGUCUGAGAGGAUGAUCAGCCGCAAUUGAAAUGAGACAGGGUCCAGACUCCUACGGGAGGCAGCAGUGGGGAAUAUUGGACAAUGGGCGCAAGCCUGAUCCAGCCAUACCUCGUGGGUGAAGAAGGCCUUCGGGUUGUAAAGCCCUUUUGUUGGGAAAGAAAUCCAUCUGGUUAAUACCCGGGUGGGAUGACGGUACCCAAAGAAUAAGCACCGGCUAACUUCGUGCCAGCCGCCGCGGUAA
RNAcentral lists this ribosomal RNA (506 nucleotides) under uncultured bacterium. RNAcentral's name for it is "partial 16S ribosomal RNA". It matches the Rfam family "Bacterial small subunit ribosomal RNA", at positions 29 to 523 of the family's 1533-position model. The record is from RNAcentral.